UUUAUUUUAUUAUUAUUAUUAUUAUUAUUAUUAAUAUUUAUUUAUAUAUACUUUGUUUUCUCUGUCAAAUUAUUACAGAACCAACGAACCUUUCCCUCUUUUAUUUUAUUUUUUUGAUAAUCAUAAAAUCAAAUCAAUUUUCGUUUCGCUUCUCACACUUCCCGGAACCUUCUCUUCACUCCUUUCACCAAUUUUCCGUUGCCAUGGUUUCUCUCUAUCACAUCAUUUUCAUCUUUUUCAUUUCAUAUACUCCUAUAUGAUUUAUGAACCCACCUUUCCUCUUUCCUCUUAUUAUAAUUAA
Molecule: non-coding RNA, 301 nt
Organism: Vicia faba (fava bean)
Lineage: Eukaryota; Viridiplantae; Streptophyta; Magnoliopsida; Fabales; Fabaceae
Source: the annotation of a GenBank genome assembly